CUACUUGACAAUGCAGUUGAUGAGAUCCAAAAUGGGGCCACUUUUGUCAUUGUAGAUAAAACCUCAAAUCCAAGGGAUGGAAGUCCAGCAUUGUUAAUUCAAGACAAGAAGAUGCUCAGGAGUUCCCUUAGCUUCAUUAUGGAUGCAUGAUGAAUUACUUAAGCUUGAAGGACAGCCCUUGAAGGAAAGACGAACUUUUUUAAAGAAGGGUGGGUGACUAUCAAAGAGCAUUAUGUCAGGCCUCCAAGAUGGUGGAAAGAAUUUCAUCUUCAAGAUGGACGCAGACAUUAUAGUCAUCAAUUUGUACUGAAAUGCUGGAUUUGGAAUCAAAAUUUUGUUACUCUUAUUUGAGCCAGCAAUUUGUAUAUUGUAUUUCAAGGGAUAUGUAUAAUGCCAUAGUCUGACUGAAGUUGUAUUAAUUUAUGCCGAGCCGUCCUUAGCUUGGGGUGGCUAUCAUUAUCAGUAUAGAAUUUUGUA
This is a non-coding RNA of Prunus mume (Japanese apricot), 477 nucleotides long. NCBI's taxonomy places the organism in Eukaryota, Viridiplantae, Streptophyta, Magnoliopsida, Rosales, Rosaceae. The record is from RefSeq and is a predicted model, not a curated record.